GGAUAACCUACCCUUAGGACCGGGAUAACCCUGGGAAACUGGGGAUAAUACUGGAUAGGCAAUUUUUCCUGUAAUGGUUUUUUGUUUAAAUGUUUUUUCGCCUAAGGAUGGGUCUGCGGCCGAUUAGGUAGUUGGUUAGGUAAUGGCUUACCAAGCCGUUGAUCGGUACGGGUUGUGAGAGCAAGAGCCCGGAGAUGGAACCUGAGACAAGGUUCCAGGCCCUACGGGGUGCAGCAGGCGCGAAACCUCCGCAAUGUGAGAAAUCGCGACGGGGGGAUCCCAAGUGCUAUUCUUAACGGGAUGGCUUUUCAUUAGUGUAAAGAGCUUUUGGAAUAAGGGCUGGGCAAGACCGGUGCCAGCCGCCGCGGUAACACCGGCAGCUCUAGUGGUAGCAGUUUUUAUUGGGCCUAAAGCGUCCGUAGCCGGUUUAAUGAGUCUCUGGUGAAAUCCUGUAGCUUAACUGUGGGAAUUGCUGGAGAUACUAUUAGACUUGAGACCGGGAGAGGUUAGAGGUACUCCCAGGGUAGAGGUGAAAUUCUGUAAUCCUGGGAGGACCGCCUGUUGCGAAGGCGUCUAACUGGAACGGUUCUGACGGUGAGGGACGAAAGUUAGGGGCGCGAACCGGAUUAGAUACCCGGGUAGUCCUAACUGUAAACGAUGCGGACUUGGUGUUGGGGUGGCUUUGAGCUGCUCCAGUGCCGAAAGGGAAGCUGUUAAGUCCGCCGCCUGGGAAG
Molecule: ribosomal RNA, 734 nt
Filed under: uncultured archaeon
Lineage: Archaea
Description: bacterial SSU rRNA
Rfam family: Archaeal small subunit ribosomal RNA
Source: RNAcentral